ACAAGCGGCGGAGCAUGCGGAUUAAUUCGAUGCAACGCGAAGAACCUUACCAAGGCUUGACAUACACCGGUAACGCCCAGAGAUGGGUGCCCCUUUGUGGUCGGUGGACAGGUGGUGCAUGGUUGUCGUCAGCUCGUGUCGUGAGAUGUUGGGUUAAGUCCCGCAACGAGCGCAACCCUCGUCCUAUGUUGCCAGCGGGUCAUGCCGGGGACUCAUGGGAGACUGCCGGGGUCAACUCGGAGGAAGGUGGGGAUGACGUCAAGUCCUCAUGGCCUUUAUGCCCAGGGCUACACACGUGCUACAAUGGGCGGUACAAAGAGAAGCAACCUCGCGAGGGUGAGCAAAUCUCAAAAAGCCGUUCUCAGUUCGGAUUGAAGUCUGCAACUCGACUUCAUGAAGUCGGAAUCGCUGGUAAUCGCGGAUCAGCAUGCCGCGGUGAAUACGUUCCCGGGUCUU
RNAcentral lists this ribosomal RNA (456 nucleotides) under uncultured Nostocoides sp. Its description in RNAcentral is "bacterial SSU rRNA". It matches the Rfam family "Bacterial small subunit ribosomal RNA", at positions 925 to 1382 of the family's 1533-position model. Lineage: Bacteria; Bacillati; Actinomycetota; Actinomycetes; Micrococcales; Intrasporangiaceae. The record is from RNAcentral.